GACGAACGCUGGCGGCGUGCUUAACACAUGCAAGUCGAACGGAAAGGCCCUGCUUUUGUGGGGUGCUCGAGUGGCGAACGGGUGAGUAACACGUGAGUAACCUGCCCUUAACUUUGGGAUAACUUCAGGAAACUGGGGCUAAUACCGGAUAGGAGCUCCUGCUGCAUGGUGGGGGUUGGAAAGUUUCGGCGGUUGGGGAUGGACUCGCGGCUUAUCAGCUUGUUGGUGGGGUAGUGGCUUACCAAGGCUUUGACGGGUAGCCGGCCUGAGAGGGUGACCGGCCAAAUUGGGACUGAGAUACGGCCCAGACUCCUACGGGAGGCAGCAGUGGGGAAUAUUGCACAAUGGGCGGAAGCCUGAUGCAGCAACGCCGCGUGCGGGAUGACGGCCUUCGGGUUGUAAACCGCUUUCGCCUGUGACGAAGCGUGAGUGACGGUAAUGGGUAAAGAAGCACCGGCUAACUACGUG
This 468-nucleotide ribosomal RNA is filed under the name uncultured bacterium. RNAcentral's name for it is "partial 16S ribosomal RNA". It matches the Rfam family "Bacterial small subunit ribosomal RNA", at positions 28 to 507 of the family's 1533-position model. The record is from RNAcentral.